Molecule: non-coding RNA, 107 nt
Organism: Acanthosepion pharaonis
Lineage: Eukaryota; Metazoa; Mollusca; Cephalopoda; Sepiida; Sepiidae
Source: the annotation of a GenBank genome assembly
UUGCAGCCACACCAUGUUGAAAUACUGUAUGAUCAUCGAAGUUAAGCAACAUCGAGCCUGGUCAGUACAUGGAUGUGUGACUGUUUGGGAAUACCUGGUGCCGUAAG